Molecule: ribosomal RNA, 254 nt
Filed under: uncultured bacterium
Lineage: Bacteria
Description: partial 16S ribosomal RNA
Rfam family: Bacterial small subunit ribosomal RNA
Source: RNAcentral
UACAGAGGUCCCGAGCGUUGUUCGGAUUCACUGGGCGUAAAGGGUGCGUAGGCGGUUUGUCACGUCGGAUGUGAAAACCCGAGGCUUAACCUCGGGCCUGCAUUCGAUACGGGCUGACUAGAGUUCGGUAGGGGAGACUGGAAUUCCUGGUGUAGCGGUGAAAUGCGCAGAUAUCAGGAGGAACACCGGUGGCGAAGGCGGGUCUCUGGGCCGAUACUGACGCUGGAGGAGCGAAAGCGUGGGGAGCGAACAGG